AACAAGGAUUCCCCUAGUAACUGCGAGUGAAGCGGGAUGAGCUCAAAUUUAAAAUCUGGCGGUCUCUGGCCGUCCGAGUUGUAUUCUGGAGAAGUGCUUUCNGCGCUGGACCGUGUAUAAGUCUCUUGGAACAGAGCGUCAUAGAGGGUGAGAAUCCCGUCUUUGACACGGACUACCAGUGCUUUGUGAUGCGCUCUCAAAGAGUCGAGUUGUUUGGGGAAUGCAGCUCAAAAUGGGUGGUAAAUUCCAUCUAAAGCUAAAUAUUGGCGAGAGACCGAUAGCGAACAAGUACCGUGAGGGAAAGAUGAAAAGCACUUUGGAAAGAGAGUUAAACAGUACGUGAAAUUGUUGAAAGGGAAACGCUUGAAGUCAGUCGCGUUGGCCGGGACUCAGCCUUGCCUUCCGCUUGGUGUAUUUUCCGGUCGACGGGCCAACAUCGAUUUUGACUGCUGGACAAGGGCUAGCGGAAUGUGGCACCUUCGGGUGUGUUAUAGCCGCUGGUCGUAUACAGUAGUUGGGAUCGAGGACCGCAACUUCGGCUUAAGAUGUUGGCAUAAUGGCUUUAAACGACCCGUCUUGAAACCCCGGACCAAGGAGUCUAACAUGCCUGCGAAGUGUUUGGGUGGAA
RNAcentral lists this ribosomal RNA (628 nucleotides) under Gloeophyllum sepiarium. RNAcentral describes it as "LSU rRNA". It matches the Rfam family "Eukaryotic large subunit ribosomal RNA", at positions 67 to 704 of the family's 3401-position model. The record is from RNAcentral. Lineage: Eukaryota; Fungi; Basidiomycota; Agaricomycetes; Gloeophyllales; Gloeophyllaceae.